CUGGAAAGCAAGCUGCCCACCUGACGGGGCUCCCUUCCCCUACAAGGACACCCUGUUCCCAGAGAACUCCCAGGGUCCCCUCUGCUGGAAGGGCUUGUGGGCAGCUCCAGACUGCUCCACGGUUUGUGCAGGGAGAGGAGCAGGCCGCUCUCAUGGCCAGAGCUACUCGACACGCUGGGAUGGAGCCAGACUCCAGCAGGAGCCAACUCAGGGCUCAGCGUGUCCCCAGGCUUCCUGUGUUGGGAUGCAUCAGAAGGGACACCUGAGUCCACCGUGCAGUUCAGAGGUGAGGCUUUGGCGGGAAGUCGGAUCAGGUAGUCAUUUGGGUGGGGCCCAGGGGUGAGUCUAAGGGCUUUCUAAAAAGAUGGAGAGUCCAGACCUGAAAGCACGCAUGUACAUGCACACACACACUCACGCACACACACACACACUCACAAACAUGCACUCACACACACACUCACACACACUCACACACACACACACACUCUCACACUCACACACACACUCACACACACUCUCACACACAGACUCACACACACCCCCCACACAAACACACACUCACACACUCACACACAGUCACACACACUCACUCACACACACAGAGUCACACAUGUCCCUGUCUCUUGCCAAGUGAUGCUCAGGGCCGGAAGCAGGCAUCAGCAGGGCUGGGCUGUGCCUCAGUGGCACGUUUCAGGCCCUGAUUUCCAGCCCAGCAUCAAACACACAACUGUCACCAAAUGUGCCUCCGGGUCUUGUGCCUCCAGAACAAUGCGCCAAACAAACCUUUUCCUCUGUGACUCACCCCCUCUGUGCUGUUGGGAUCCCAGCCACACAAGACGGACAGACGGGUGGCGUUCCAGUUGGGUCAGUGAGGGUUGAAUCAGUGACUUCUGCAAUGGCCGUCUAGGUGUUGGGGCUACCUGUCCCACUGAAGAUGACCAGACAGAACAUUAAAAGAUUUGCUUGGGGUCACAGACCAGCCCGCCCAGCCCCAGGAGCCACAGAAACCCCGGCAACAUGAGCCAGUUUGGAGGCCUCUCUGCCGUGAGGUUUGCCGGUCACUAAAAGACAGCUGGGGGCUGGGCAGUCACCCCAACAAUAUACGGCACAGGUCAGGCCUAGGCCUACAGAGGGCAUGGACUUGGUCUCGGGACACAGGAGGGCUGCUCCUUAGGACUUGGGGUGCGUGGACAGCAGCCAGUCCUCUUGGGCACUGCCAGCUGCUUUUGAGACAGCAAGGUGUCCCAGGGAAAAACUCCACUCCUGGAGUGACCUUCAGGUCCUUACAGGGUGGUGGUGUCCUCAGGCUCCCGGGGAAACCGCAGGCUUCCUGAAUGUCGGUGCUGCUGUUGGCUUUUCUUUCUUUUCAUAUCAGGACGUGAUUGAAUGAAGCAGUUCAUGAGGAGGAGAAGCAACGCAUCCCACGACCGUGGGGGACAGAUGGGAAGCAGAUCCACAGGUGCUAUGGGGACUGUCUGGGAUGUGGCAAAGCAGCCACCCUCCGAGGAGGCUUGUGGCCACCUCCUGAGGAGACAGCCCAUCCCGGGAGGCUGGGAGAGGUGGACAGAGCUGCCCUCCUCAGAAGACACGACUGACCCGUAGGCGGUUCCAGGGCUUCCAGGAAUCAGCUGUCAGGAUGAGCGGUUCACAAAACCCAGAGGUGCUUCUGAAACAAGUCACAAGGAAUCAAAAAGGAGCAGUUGUAAACCUGCAGCACAGCCCUGAAGGCAAAGAGCUGAGGCUGGAACUAGGGCGCCCUCCAUCCUCUGUGCAGGAAGCUUUCAAACAGGGACCAGGAGACCUAAGACCGGACACAGGAAGUCCAGCCCACAAUCACGGGCAGUCCACGUGGCCCGGUGCUGAUGACCUGAAGAUUCACUGCAUUAUCGGUUAAAUCCCCACUUUCUGGUGAUGCUGGACAAGAAGAAUUUAGCACAUACGCGAAGGCAAGAUGGCCUUGCUCAGGAGCAAGGGGCAGACGGCUCCACUCAGUGCAGAGCUCGCUACAGAUCUGCAGGGAUGGGACCACGGCCCUGGCACAGGCACACGCAGGCCCACGGAGCCCAGCAAGGGGCCCAGAAACAAGUCCAGGCGUGUUCUGACCUUUGGCUUAACAACAGCAGUGGCUGUGCCGAGAAAUGGGGAAAGAACUAACUUUAACACAUUCCAGGAACGAAGGGACCUUCCUAUGAGAAAACGAGAAGUCAAGAAGUCAACUUGACUUUCAUCAUACAAAAAAACAAAACAAGAGGAAAAAAAAAUCGAUGUUGGGGGAAUUACAAACCCCAAUGUGGAGGUAGAAACAGGAGCUUUAGAUCAAAUUAUAAGCUAUCAAAUAACUUCACAGGUAUUUUAUUCAGGACAGAAAAUCACUAACCACAAAGGGAAAGUUUAAAAACUGACACAAAGAUUAAGGACGUUUGUUUUUCAAAACACACCACCAAGAGAGUGGAAAGACAAGCCACAGGGGACAGAGAUAUUUCAACACAGGCGUGUGACAAAUGACUUGUAUCUGGAAUAAAGAUCCCUGUAAAUCAGCCCUCUGCCGAGCAGAGAUGGGCAAACAGGCCCCGGUGGACUCCAGCAGGCAGGAGGUGGCAGGGGGCGGAAAAAAGGGCUCCUGCCCAACUUCACAUGUGACCAAAGUCACUGAAGUCACGGGAGCACACCACCCACACCACCUGCUCCACCAAGGGCAGGUGUGUCCAGGACAGCGCCGUGCACGGUUCUGGUGGGGAUCAGAGGAAACUGGGGCUCCUGUGCUGGGCCGAGGACGCACGCUGGCCCAGGCAUGUUGGAAGACCAUCGGCGUCCCUUCCUACGUGGUCUCCUGUGACUCUGCUCAGCAGAACAGUGCCAGCCACAGAGCAGACACAGCGAGAAGGCCCAGCCCGUGAUGGAGAUGACCAGGAUGUCCAUCGGCUGCAGAACGGGCCCAGCCCGAGGCCAGUCCAUUCCCAGGACUCCCCUUCACCAGUAAAAUCCACCAACACUAGCUUCCUGCAGAAGCUCCGUGGGAAUUCACAAACGGAGGUUGAAGGAGACAAGACUGAGUGAAGAAUGCCGACUAUAUAACUGUGUCUGUGUGACGUUCAGAGGGUGCAGGCCUGGAAGGGCUGCGGGGCUCCCCCGGCUGCACCCUUAGUUCCUGGUGUCCUCGGUGACCGGACGUCGCGUUUCACUUAAAACAACAACAACAAAACACAGACAAGAAACUAACAAUAAAAGGGAGUGUCAGUAAGAUGGAUGUCCCCCGGCCCUGCGACCGCCUACAGUGGGCGUGGACAGCCUGGGAGGGUAGGCCUUGCCGUCCUGCCGCUUUUCUUGCUGUCAUAAGCCAGCCAGGUCACCAACAGACCAGAUACGUCUCUGUCCCUCCACUGCGUCAGAACUUACUGAAUGAGUUAAUCCUCAGGUGACACCACUCUCAUCAGUGGCAGUGCAGUGGAUACGUGUGGGUCCCUGGUGUCAGGCUGGGCAGUCACAGGGUCACUCAGUCUUGAUUUCUACAUCUGUCAGGCUCAAGUCACACAACACACUCUACACAACUAUAUGUACAGGCUACCGAGAGGCUGAACCGUGCGGCGGCCUCAGGCUUCAGGAGGCAGAUAGCAGGUACAGAUAGGGUCACCACAGGUGGUCGGAUGAGAUUAGAAACCACCGAGGACCUGUGCAGGGCGCAGGGCCAUGGGAGCACAGGAACCUAUUCUAGGCCAAGGUCCAGAGAGUGCCAGUCUCAGGUCAGCUUGGAGUGUCAGCCUGAGGUGUCAGCUUGGAGUGGGACUUGCAUGGUCGUCACUGGCAGGAGAAACUGCUUUGCUGAAGCCCCUGACAGAGAACUGAAGGUUCAUUGCUGUGGUGACAUUCCUGGGUGAGGCUGUGAUGAGUGACCAGGUGACAGGGUCAGCAUGCUGCUGUGUCCAGGCUCAGGUGCCCCUCCUUCUGUGGGUCUCGAGUGAGGGGCUGCAUCCUGAGGUGGUUCCACUAGCUCCUGGGCCUGAUUUUUCCAAUAUGAGUUUGAUACACCCACACAUUCAUGUGCUUCUGACUAAUCUGUAAGUCACAGGUGGUCACUUUUACGAGCAUGAUCAAUUUAUUUAUCAGCAUGUGCCUUAUGGUGGUGCCAGGCAGAUGGUGGCUGUUGAUUUGCACAAACAAGGUACAGAGUUCUUGCUCUGAUUAGAGCAGCUCAGGGCAAACUGGGGCUUUAUGAAAUGGGGUGACUCAGGGUUAGGCUGAAAUCAGCUGUUCUGUCCACCGUGGAGUCACAAAGGGAAGGGCACAGCCUGAGAGCUGCUGUUCUAAACACCAUGGAGUCACCCAGGGCAGGCUCAGCCUGAAGACAGCUGUUGUACACACCAUAGAGUCACUCAGGGCAGGCGCAGCCUGAGGAUUGCUGUUCUGUACACCAUGGAGUCACCCAGGGCAGGCUCAGCCUGAAGACAGCUGUUGUACACACCAUAGAGUCACUAGGGCAGGCACAGCCUGAGGACUGCUGUUCUACACACCAUGGAGUCACUAGAGCAGGCACAGCCUGAGGACUGCUGUUCUGUACACCAUGGAGUCACUAGAGCAGGCACAGCCUGAGGACUGCUGUUCUACACACCAUGGAGUCACUCAGGGCAAGCGCAUUCUGAGAGCUGCUGUUUUGCACACCAUGGAGUCACUAGGGCAGGCUCAGCCUGAGGACUGCUGUUUUGCACACCAUGGAGUCACUAGGGCAGGCACAGCCUGAGAACUGCUGUUCUACACACCAUGGAGUCACCAGGGCAGGCUGAUCUGUACACCAUGGAGCCAUGCAGAGUUGGAAACAGCAUAGAAACUGCUGUUGGAUGCCUCAUGGAGUCACUCAGAGAACACAGCCAUUCUCCACACGUUCUCUGACUUCUAGGAGGCUGACCACUGACCACUGCUUUCUCUGGCUCCAUGUGCUAGAUCUGCAGCCUGAGAUGAACCUCAGAAGUGUGGUGGACAGAGGAAGUGGUCCUUCAUCUUGGGCUGUGCCCACACGCCCAGGCCACCCACAGUUGGUGGGACUGAAACUCCAUGCUGUAAGGGGGACUCUCUGUUAUUCAGUGAGGUCGUGCUGUGGUCACAUGAAAUAGUGGAGCCUGGUGUCCCCGGCCACAGGAAAAGUGCUCUGUCUGGAAGACAGGGGGUGGCAGGUGGCCGUGUGGAUCCUGGGAGGCCUCUGGCUGCACCCUCCUCCUGUGCUCACAAUCAGGCCACCAGUGGGGCAGACCCUCUCCUGGACCUGGUCAUCUUUGGGCCUGGGCUGCUCCUCCAGGCCUCUGGGACGCUACACCUUGAGAAUGUGCCCUGUGGGACCCCCUCCUCUCUGGGGCCUGUGUGCAUGCCCUGGCCUGGGCUGUCUGGAGGGCUGUGGGAAGGGGAGGCUCACGUGGCUGGACCUGGCUGGGGUUCUGCACACUGGUCCCCUAGGACGCCUUUGAUGACUGUGUGACAUUCUUACCUGGAACCCUUCUGCUGCCAAGUCCAGCCCAAGAGAGCAGAGUCCACCGAGUUUCCUCUCCCCCAAUUUGUAGAUGUUUUCUCUUUGGGGGAGAAGAAAUCAGGACUUACUCUUGAUGAUGCUGGGUGUCUCCACACCAUGGGGCCCUUCUCCCCAACCGCGGGUCACCCCCCAUCCUGCUUGGGGUUUCACUGGCCCUCCUCCAACCUGGGCUCACAGGUGGCCUACUACCUCCUUCUCUCUCCCCAGAGGCCUGUGCUGCGCUGGUUCUGGGUGGGGGGUCCCACCAUCCCGAGCCUCUGGGGAACCUCAUGUCACAUGCUUGCAGGAGCCUGGCCCCAUUCCCACCCAAGAUUAUUCCUGGACCAGUCCUGGGGAGAGAGGCCUGAGGAUCCCUCCUCCUGGCCACGUCCACUUUGUCCAGAGAGGCAACAUGGAACAGCGGGUGCUCAGGGGGGCGGGGGACAAGAGAUGGCACUGCCACUAGGGAAGGCAGCCUGGCAGCUGUGGGGACAGCUAGCAUUCCACGUCCCAGGGGAGGCCACGGGAAGUGAGGCCCCUGGGCACACAGCCACUCUCGUCAUGGAUAAUUCUCCAGACCCAAAGCAGGAGCAGCCUGCAGGCCCAUCCCUGGUGAAUGAGCAGGACACUAGCAGGUGGGCUAUCACCUGGCAGGGGGACCUUCAACCCAUGAGAUGAGCCAAGCCACAGGUGGUGGGGCCGUUCCCACCAAUGUCCACAACAGGCAGAUUCACAGAGAAAGCAGACCAGGCCUGGCCAGGGCAAGGGGGAGGGGAAAGGGUCCAGCAAUGACAGGCCAAGGGUCUGGAUGGGUUUCGAGGUCAGGACUGUGUUCUAGGCCUGGAAUGUUCUGGUGGCUUCACAACUCAGAGAGUCCACCAAACACCACUAACUUGUCCACCAAACACCGCUAACUUGUCCACUUCCAGAGGGUGAAUUUUAUGGUCUGCAAGUUACAUCUCAAUAAAGCUGUUAAAGAAAAAGGAUUCCAGGGGGAUUAUGAGGGGUGGGCUUCCCUGACUCCUGGGAUCCAGCCCAGGGCCCCUGGACACUGGGCAGGGGGCUUGAAGGAAGCAUCAUGGGGCCCGAGAGAGUCCACUCCUGCCGGAGGCCUGGCCUCUGCCUCCCACCCUCCUUCCCUUCCUGCCUCCCCUCAUGUCUCCUGGGUCUUGAACCUCCUCCUUGCCAGGACCCCACAGCGGGUAGUGGCGAUGACAUUAAAAAGCCCCUUCCCAGCUACAAAAUACUCCAAAGUGCUUAGCGGCCCUUGGGAGCAGCAGAGGGUGAGAGCCAGGACCUCAGGCGCACUAGCCACAGGAAGGAAAAGUCCCUCUUGAAGCUUCCCCGGGGUCAGCCAGGGCCACAGGACAGAAACCCCCAGGGCUCUGGCAGGAAGCUUCCUCCUGCCGAGGCCCCUUUUAACUUCCCAGAGAUAAUGCAGUGCAGAGUACCUGCCAGGCACCUGAAGACAGAUGACCAGUGUUUGCCGGGAAAUAGUUUGUGUCAGAGCAAAUUGGAAUUUAUAUCUCAGGAGGCCGGUAAUCCCCUUUAGAGUGCUCCAGCGUCCCCAGGACGAGCGGGCUUGCGCAGGGCUGGCGGCUCGCUGAAGACAGACAAAGCCGUGCGCCUCCGAAGACCCCUGCUCGCCCAGUCCUACUCUGGAUAUCUUAAUUGAGUCUGCAAACCCUAGGACACCACGGAGAAAACAAGCCUCACGAUGUCCUCUUCCAGCUCCGCACAGGAUCAAGGUCGUGUUCACCUUCGGGAAACUCAAGAAACAAAGCAGGGAAGGAGUUGUCUUCCUGGGGGUUAGUUUUGUGUUAUGCUUGUUCUUGUUUAGUUUUGUGUAUAUUUUUAAAGCUUGUGAACAGAGGAGAAAAAUCCAGGGGCAUGUUCCCACUAAGUUAAACUAGUUGUUCUUAAAAUCCCAAAUCCUUCUACAGCUUUUUAUUCCCAAGGACCAGUACACAAUCUGCUUUGCUCUUGAUUUAAACAUGCUGACAAGCGGCUGCCGGCUCGCCUGCGCGGCGCGAGAGUGGAUUGGGGCUGUCAUAUAUAAUGCAUGAGAUGGGGAGCCGCGGAUGCGGGGAGCGGGGACGGGAUCUGCACAGGACUCGAGGUGAUCUGCGUGCAGCUCUGUGCCCAGAGUCACUGUGCAAACAUAUUUACCCUGCAUAAAAGAAAGGGAUGAGUCUGCGCAGGACGAUUGUCCACCGGAGUGGAUUUAAUUUCUAAACCUGCAUUAGAGCAGGAUUAACCUUGCUGAAGGGUACCGUGACGUGGGCAGAAUGUAUAAAGCUAACCCCGGGUCCGCACAGCCAGAGGAGGAGCACUGGAUGGAAUUAAACAUUUAUUGCACAUAAAUGCCUUCUCUGCAGCCUCCCUCCUCCCUGCCCAGUCACCUCUGUGUUGCAGGUUCUCUGCUGGUGGAGCAGGACACAGGCCCCUGGCUCAGGCCUGACCUUAUGCUGCUUUCUGCAUCCUCCCAGCAUCCCUGGUCCUGGUCCUUCUGGUGACAAGAGACAGCUGUGGACAGGGGCUGGGUUUGCAGGCUCCCAUAGGCACAGGCACGUGUACGCAGGUUGAAACACGGUCCCUGCUAGGGUUCUCUGCCUCUAUGGAGGAGAGAUCUCUGGAAGGCCGAGAACCUGGCCAGGAAACACAUUGCCUGUUUCCUGUUCUGUGAUUGGGAGGCACGCCCUGUGAAGAAUCCCAGGGAAGGCUCUGAUUGGCCGUUCAUCAACCAAUCGUCACAGCUGAGGAGGAGGAGAGAGGAUCCUGAGCCCCAGGCAGCACUGUGGGAAAUGGAGGUGGAGCUCAGGCAGGCUGUCUCCCUUGGUCAAGGUGUGAGCAGUGAGUGUCCCACAUCCCAGGAGACCCUGCAGUUCUGGGCACACAAGAAUGGUUGGUAACUGUCUGCUCAAGAAUCCACCUAGAAAUUUCCAAAUCUGAUGAGUGAGUUGGGCAAGCAGGUUGUAGCCUAUUUCUUAUUUCACCACAAAUUGUUUCAAUAACAGACAUUUCAAAAGGAACAACAAAUAAGAACUGAAACAGGGUCACAGAACAUCUUGUGGUUUCCUUACCGAAACACGAAUCCUCAGUUCCUCGUGUGGUUCAGCCGAAGCUGCCUUGGGGGAACUCCUGCUGCCCCAGCCCCAUACCAGAGGCACGUUUCUCUUUGAAGCGCUGCCAGGGGUACACCUGGGGCACUUGGGAAUCGGCUUCAGGUCUUUUCACUCCUCCAGAUGGAUCCCUGACACUAGGGGCAUCUGGAGAGUUUCAGUUUCUUUCCCUUUGAGCAGGAGGACAAGGCCCGAGCCCCUGAAUUGCCCCAUGACCUGCACAGAAGAGCCAUGACGAGGACAGAGCUGGUGGUGGGAAGGACCCUGAGGGACUGACUCUGCCUUGUCCUGUGCUGGGGCCUUGGGCCACCUGGGCAUGGUCAUUGCAGAGCAGGUGUCCGCAGCUAGCAGAACCACCUGGGUUUCAUCCACCCUGAUGUAAAAAGUAUCCACAGUGAUAUAAUGAGAGAUGACAUCCUUCGAGGACAUGGUGGGAUUGUGCUAGUAACCAAAUCACCUUACUUCACCUUCCUGGGGGGGGGGGUCUCCUUCAUUCUCAUUUUACAUUUGAUGACACUGAAGGCCCCUGGAGGAGGUCACACAGCAGACCCUGGGUGUGGGUGAGCACUGGGUGCACGUGGAACAGGGGCUUUGCAGGAGGAAGAUUCUUGCUUUCUCUGGACACGGACCUCUGUCCCCAAGGUCACCCCCGACAACAUCCUCCUAGGAUACUCCCUGCUUGAGGCUCAGCCCUCAAAUCAGUCCUGCUUCCUCCAAUCUUCUCUCCCUGGUUUGGCUCAGCUGAGAGGAUGUAAAGACUAUGUGAGUAAAAUAAUCUCCAUGCUUGUAAGCUCAGCCCGGAAGGGAGGGUCUUGUUCUGCGUCCCCUUGCUUCUGAACAUGCUUCGACUACCAACUGGAUAAUCAUGUCGGGGAAAUGAUCAAUUAAGUUAGGACAUUUCCCCAUCCCUGCCUGACCAGCCAGCCUCCCUUUCCCUCUGCAUUCACACACCCUGAAGAGCAGAAGGAAUGGGUGGGAGGCGCUGGGCUGUGGGAAUAUGCCCAGCCCUACCCUUCAGUGUGGACUGGGUUUGUUCUGGAGUCGGAGCUUAGGCUCAGCUGCAACAAAGAGAAUGUCCAAGAGCCCGGGGCGUGGCCCUCUGAGGCUCCUCCCGGCUCUCAGUGGGGCUGCUGAGCACCUGCUCUGGGACAGCCAUGGCCCCAGCAGGAACCAGGCAGGAUUGCUCAGGUGCCCACUGGGCCGGGGCCGCUCAGGGCUUUCCUGCUUGCUCUGUGGCUGCAGAUCCAUCCCAAGCCUGAUCAGGACAGGGCCCCUGCCUGAGAGGUGGGAUGCUCUCCCGCUGUCUGGAGGCAGGGAGGGCAGGUCCCUCAUGGUGCGCAGAGGGCAGGAUUGACCGUUUUGCUUUGCCUUGAGGCAGAGGAGGGGGAGGGAGGAUCCUGAGCUCCAGCCAGCACUGUGGUUGCUUGGCAGAGGGGGUCAAGCUCAGGUUCCAGCUGUCACCCCCACUUGCCAGGUCAAAAAGUGAAGGCUGUAUCAGGAGGCCGUGUGCCAGUCGCCACCAGAAUUGGAGUCACCACGGAGCUCAGCUCUGGAACUCAAGCUGGAACCGCGUGUGCCACCUGCCCGUGAGGUGCCAGCCUGCUUCUCUGCCCUCCACCUCGUUGUUCCUGGAAGGAGGGCCACACACUGGAGUCACAUGUGCUGUGGCCCUGGAGAGACUGCUGACAGCCCCCGACCUAGAGGUGUCCAAGCACCUGGGGAAGCUCCCCUGGAACUGGUGCUGGGUCAGGCUGGUGAGGCCUCUCCAGGUUGUGCUGAGCCUCAACUGCCUCACCCCAGGGGAGGAAAGGCCCUCGACACCCCCAAACACCUCUACCCAGUCUGCCCCCUGGCUACAGGUCCAUCCGUCCGACCUCAGUGCCCAGGAAUCCCCCUCCUCCCUCCCCUCCAAUGCUGCCUCCAAGGUGGAGCCUGGGAGGCCCCUGUGGGUCCCCGCUGGCCCCCUCCGAGGCCUGCCCCUGUCCUGCACUCACAGACUGGGUCUGCUCUCCUGAGCAGGCCCCUGCAGCCCUGGCCCAGGCCUGGGUGAGCUGUGGAUCCACAAUGACUGUUGGGGAGUGGACAGACGGGGGUGGGGAGGCUGUGUCAAGAAGUCCUUCCAUUCCUCCCACGACUCAGGGACUUGAUUUAAGACAGGUCUUGCUCUCAAGCAGUGACCAAACCACCAUAGGCUGGGAGAGGACAGGGACCUGGCGGAGUGGCCACCUUGAAGAUGCUCCCAGGCUUUGGGGGAGAGUGGAGCAAGCACCAGUUAGAGCCGGUGUGGUGUGUCCCCAGAGGAAGCCCUGGUGUGGGCAGCAGAGGACAGAUGUGACCAAGGUGGGGCUUGGACCGGGCCAUGGCUGGGUAGGGGUCUGAGCAGUCUGGCUGCUGGCCCGUUCCUCCACCACGGUGCUGGGCCAGCAGCCAGGGCGUCCUCUGGUUUUGCCGCGUGGGCUGCAGCUCAGGUGUGCGGGCGCCAGGGGGACUCUGCUUGCUGUUCUGCUGAACGCUGCUCCUGCACACCAUGGUAAACGACGUGGUCUUUCAAGGGUGUCCAGAGACCAGUGGACACUGAGCAGGACUCCACGCUGGAGAGGCCUCUCAUCAGUGGACACACGGGUCCAGGUUGAAAUGUUUUCCUCCAAUUGCAUUUGGCACUGAAUGGAUUGAAGCCCCUUGGCCUGGUGGCCUGUCUCGAAGUUAACCCUGCAUGCUCCACAUGGGUCACACUCAGCACAGGCUGCAGCCACCUGCCCUCUGCAGGGAGAAGCAGCAUCGCCUGGGUAGAACCUCUAUGCCUGAUGGCCUCAGGGCUCUGUGUGGCUAGGAAGAAGGACCCUCAUCCUUGCUGCUGUGCGUGCCCACGGGGAUGGCAGCUACACAGGAUACAGAGGUGGCAGCACCCUCACACCAGGCCACAGAGCCCCCUGUGGCCUCCUGUCCACAGCAGCUCUGUGGGCAGCCCACGUGUACCUCCCGAGCAGCCCUGUCAUGGCCCCGCCCUUACCUGGAGUGGUCUGUGUGGGUUUAGCGUGUAUUUACUGAGCACUGACCCUGGGCCUGAACACAAGGGCAGACCCCCACCCCCAGGAGCUUACUUACCUUCUCCUGGGUCGGGUGCAGAGGAGAGGCACGUGGCUGUGCAUUGUCAGGUGGAGAUUAACGUUUGCAGAAAGGUAAAGUGGGGUGAGGGGACAGAGGAGGACAGAGGGCUCCACCUCACACAGAAAGGCUGAGAACAGCUUCGACCAGGCAACACCAGAGCAGGACUCAGGUGGGUCCUAUGAUCUUACCCCUGUAUACUAUCCUUGCAGCUGCCCAGUGGACAGAAAAACAGGCUCAGAGAGGGUGAGGAGCCAGCCCAGGGGUGCACAGUGUCGAUGGCAGGAGGAGAGACAAAGUCUUGUCUAUUCCAGAGCCCUUUUCUCCACCCUGAGUGGAUGAGCCAGAAGACCUUAGAGGUGGCCACACAGAGGAAGUAAGUGCACAGAGAGGACAGAAAGCGUACGUCCCCAUACACUGGCAGGCGGUGUGGCUUUCCCUCUUCUUCGUAUUGCUUCUCCUUAACUUUCCAAAUUUGUUGCCGUGGAAAUUUGUACCUCUAAUGACCAGGUAAGAGAGAAAGAAAGCAGGCAAGCCACCUGACCCAUGUCAGAGCAGCUUAAAUGUCCCCUUUUUAGGAUAGGAUGGCUGGAACGAUUUGGAGUGACCGGCAUCUCUGCAAGUGCCGACAGGAGUUGAAAGAUGUCCACUAAGUGCACUGGGACCCCCACCCCCACCCAGGCAAGUGCCCUGCGGACCUUCUCCUCCAGGGAACUGGAGGACCCACACGCCUGAUGGCAAGCUCUCAGAUAAGCAAGAACCGGUGCCCAGGGGUCACCACCUGAGGCUCAACAGGGCCAACCCCCGGCCCCCUGGGAGAGAGACUGGAGGUGGCCCUGAACUCCCAGGACCAGCUGGGGGCUCAACCCAGGUUCAGCCCUGCCCUGCCCUGCCCACUGUGUGUCCUGUCGAGGGGCUGGCUUUGGAGGAAUCAGGAUGGAGUCCUAUGUUUUAAAUCCCCACCUCAGAGCUGCUUCUGCCUCUCCCCGCUCCGUGCUCUGGAGCGGGGACGUCUCCAUCUGCCUCUGCAUCUUUUGUCCUCCCCCUCCCGAGCACCCCAGGCUCUCUGCUGCUACAAAGGGGCUUUGAUUCUCUGCCGAGAAUCUGGGCCACAGGCUCCAAACGAGACCGUUCCUCUUGGGAGGAGCAAGAGGAAAGUCAUUUUGCAGGCUGUAGGUAAUUAAGUCACCACACAGUUAUGGAGCACGAAUUAUAUGAUGAUUAAUCCCGGGGACCGCGAGGAGAUUUUUCAUCUUCAAAGCUCUCCCGGUGCCUCAUUAAUCAUCUCAGCCCAGGGGGAGGGAAGGGCUGGUUCUCUUCCUGCAAGUGGGGAAACUGAGUCAGCUGUGCCUACCCCACCGCUCUGCCUGGGGACAGGGUGGGAACAGCCCCCCUGGGAGCAUGGAGGGGUGUGCAGGGCUCCUCCUGGUGUCUGGCUGGUGGCUUCUGCCUGCUUCCCAGCCUCGCCUGGGCACGCAUGCAAGAAUCAAUAAAAAUGUUAUUUUAAAUAAAAAGAAAGCCAGCCAGCUCUGCUCGGGAGGCUGCCAUCGACUGCCACCGCUCUUCUUUGUUCUUUUUCUCGGGUACCUGCGCAUUUCCAGCUCACAGCCUCCCUCGGAAAGCCGCCUGUCUUCCCAUUUUCUUAGCGAGCAGUUUAAAGGAAAGCAGCGUUUUGCUCUCAAAUGCCUUCCCUUUCCAAUUGGGACACACUGCUAUAAAUACAGCGCAUCCUGUUUUGCAUUCAGAUUGUCCUGGAAGUGUGGGGCUGUAAAUAAUACUCUCUCGCCGCUCCAGACAGGGUUAUUAUUAUUUUUCUCUCCCCACUUCUGGAGCUGGUGAUAAAUUAAACAUUUCUUUUGCUCCCCACGCCCCGCAGCUGAUGUGCAAGAUGGGGUUGCUGGCUCUGCACCUGCUGUCAAGGCUUGGAGGUGACCUGUGGGUCCCCAGGAAGGCAGGGGAGCAGUGAGGCCAGGGUCAGGAGGGAGCCGCUCUGAGCUGGGUGCGGGUGGGGGUGGGCGCGUUUCUGAAUCAGCGCUUCCUUUGGGGGUUUUCUUCCAAUAAUAAGGAGAGUGCCCCAGAUCCGAGGGUGUCCCUUACACAGGGGGAGAAACUGGGGCUGUCAGGAGAUUCCUUCUCCAAACACAGAGACCACAGUCUGCUCCGGGUCUGCGGCCUCACGCCAGCCUGGGCAGGGGUCUGUCCUCUGGGGUGCUGGGCUUGUGGAGGUGGGAGCGGCCACUGCCCUGGGCCCUUCCGGGCAGCAGCAGGGGUCACAGGCGUCUAGGGGGAGGACGAGCCCCCAGCUGGGGCAGAUCCUCAGGCCCGGCUCACCCCGCCUCGGGCACUCUCGGCAUCUGGUUUUCCUCCUCUCAGUGUAAAGUGCAGACAAACAGCCCUCCUCGGCCUGGGGAGACCUCAGUGACUGAGGACCACAGGUCUGUCCAGGGCGAUGGACACCACCAAGAGCGGCGAGGACACCUGGGGCCAGGACAUCUCAGCCCUCGCAGAACCCCAAGGUGCUUUUCUCUUUGGAAGACCUCCCCGUGUCCAUCUGGAAGCUUGCGGUAGACAGCACUGGUGGCCGAGUCACACCCAGAUCUGUCCUACUUCUGCCCAGGCUCAGGUGGGCGAAGGCCCUGUCGUGGUGGGCCCUCCUGCUCUCCCCUCCAGGCCACCCAGAGGGAAGCCGUUUACCUUUUGACUCUAACUGAGCCACAGUCCUCAGGCCACCCUUCCAAAUGUGCCAAGUGAGGGCCCUGAGGCCCCGAGGCCUGGGCAGGAGACGGAGAAGCCAGCGAGCUCCCGUGGCCAUCUGUGCCCUGCAGGUUCCCGGGAGGCUCAGGGCCAGGCCUGGGUGGUGGCUCCCCUGUUGCCCACCUUCCAGGCCCCCCAACCUUCCAGGUAGUUGUGGGAAUGCAAUGCCCC
This 14646-nucleotide long non-coding RNA is filed under the name Marmota monax (woodchuck). The record is from RNAcentral. Lineage: Eukaryota; Metazoa; Chordata; Mammalia; Rodentia; Sciuridae.